RNAcentral lists this ribosomal RNA (2719 nucleotides) under Escherichia coli. RNAcentral describes it as "bacterial LSU rRNA". It matches the Rfam family "Bacterial large subunit ribosomal RNA". Lineage: Bacteria; Pseudomonadati; Pseudomonadota; Gammaproteobacteria; Enterobacterales; Enterobacteriaceae. The record is from RNAcentral.
ACACUAUCAUUAACUGAAUCCAUAGGUUAAUGAGGCGAACCGGGGGAACUGAAACAUCUAAGUACCCCGAGGAAAAGAAAUCAACCGAGAUUCCCCCAGUAGCGGCGAGCGAACGGGGAGCAGCCCAGAGCCUGAAUCAGUGUGUGUGUUAGUGGAAGCGUCUGGAAAGGCGCGCGAUACAGGGUGACAGCCCCGUACACAAAAAUGCACAUGCUGUGAGCUCGAUGAGUAGGGCGGGACACGUGGUAUCCUGUCUGAAUAUGGGGGGACCAUCCUCCAAGGCUAAAUACUCCUGACUGACCGAUAGUGAACCAGUACCGUGAGGGAAAGGCGAAAAGAACCCCGGCGAGGGGAGUGAAAAAGAACCUGAAACCGUGUACGUACAAGCAGUGGGAGCCUCUUUUAUGGGGUGACUGCGUACCUUUUGUAUAAUGGGUCAGCGACUUAUAUUCUGUAGCAAGGUUAACCGAAUAGGGGAGCCGAAGGGAAACCGAGUCUUAACUGGGCGUUAAGUUGCAGGGUAUAGACCCGAAACCCGGUGAUCUAGCCAUGGGCAGGUUGAAGGUUGGGUAACACUAACUGGAGGACCGAACCGACUAAUGUUGAAAAAUUAGCGGAUGACUUGUGGCUGGGGGUGAAAGGCCAAUCAAACCGGGAGAUAGCUGGUUCUCCCCGAAAGCUAUUUAGGUAGCGCCUCGUGAAUUCAUCUCCGGGGGUAGAGCACUGUUUCGGCAAGGGGGUCAUCCCGACUUACCAACCCGAUGCAAACUGCGAAUACCGGAGAAUGUUAUCACGGGAGACACACGGCGGGUGCUAACGUCCGUCGUGAAGAGGGAAACAACCCAGACCGCCAGCUAAGGUCCCAAAGUCAUGGUUAAGUGGGAAACGAUGUGGGAAGGCCCAGACAGCCAGGAUGUUGGCUUAGAAGCAGCCAUCAUUUAAAGAAAGCGUAAUAGCUCACUGGUCGAGUCGGCCUGCGCGGAAGAUGUAACGGGGCUAAACCAUGCACCGAAGCUGCGGCAGCGACGCUUAUGCGUUGUUGGGUAGGGGAGCGUUCUGUAAGCCUGUGAAGGUGUGCUGUGAGGCAUGCUGGAGGUAUCAGAAGUGCGAAUGCUGACAUAAGUAACGAUAAAGCGGGUGAAAAGCCCGCUCGCCGGAAGACCAAGGGUUCCUGUCCAACGUUAAUCGGGGCAGGGUGAGUCGACCCCUAAGGCGAGGCCGAAAGGCGUAGUCGAUGGGAAACAGGUUAAUAUUCCUGUACUUGGUGUUACUGCGAAGGGGGGACGGAGAAGGCUAUGUUGGCCGGGCGACGGUUGUCCCGGUUUAAGCGUGUAGGCUGGUUUUCCAGGCAAAUCCGGAAAAUCAAGGCUGAGGCGUGAUGACGAGGCACUACGGUGCUGAAGCAACAAAUGCCCUGCUUCCAGGAAAAGCCUCUAAGCAUCAGGUAACAUCAAAUCGUACCCCAAACCGACACAGGUGGUCAGGUAGAGAAUACCAAGGCGCUUGAGAGAACUCGGGUGAAGGAACUAGGCAAAAUGGUGCCGUAACUUCGGGAGAAGGCACGCUGAUAUGUAGGUGAAGUCCCUUGCGGAUGGAGCUGAAAUCAGUCGAAGAUACCAGCUGGCUGCAACUGUUUAUUAAAAACACAGCACUGUGCAAACACGAAAGUGGACGUAUACGGUGUGACGCCUGCCCGGUGCCGGAAGGUUAAUUGAUGGGGUCAGCGCAAGCGAAGCUCUUGAUCGAAGCCCCGGUAAACGGCGGCCGUAACUAUAACGGUCCUAAGGUAGCGAAAUUCCUUGUCGGGUAAGUUCCGACCUGCACGAAUGGCGUAAUGAUGGCCAGGCUGUCUCCACCCGAGACUCAGUGAAAUUGAACUCGCUGUGAAGAUGCAGUGUACCCGCGGCAAGACGGAAAGACCCCGUGAACCUUUACUAUAGCUUGACACUGAACAUUGAGCCUUGAUGUGUAGGAUAGGUGGGAGGCUUUGAAGUGUGGACGCCAGUCUGCAUGGAGCCGACCUUGAAAUACCACCCUUUAAUGUUUGAUGUUCUAACGUUGACCCGUAAUCCGGGUUGCGGACAGUGUCUGGUGGGUAGUUUGACUGGGGCGGUCUCCUCCUAAAGAGUAACGGAGGAGCACGAAGGUUGGCUAAUCCUGGUCGGACAUCAGGAGGUUAGUGCAAUGGCAUAAGCCAGCUUGACUGCGAGCGUGACGGCGCGAGCAGGUGCGAAAGCAGGUCAUAGUGAUCCGGUGGUUCUGAAUGGAAGGGCCAUCGCUCAACGGAUAAAAGGUACUCCGGGGAUAACAGGCUGAUACCGCCCAAGAGUUCAUAUCGACGGCGGUGUUUGGCACCUCGAUGUCGGCUCAUCACAUCCUGGGGCUGAAGUAGGUCCCAAGGGUAUGGCUGUUCGCCAUUUAAAGUGGUACGCGAGCUGGGUUUAGAACGUCGUGAGACAGUUCGGUCCCUAUCUGCCGUGGGCGCUGGAGAACUGAGGGGGGCUGCUCCUAGUACGAGAGGACCGGAGUGGACGCAUCACUGGUGUUCGGGUUGUCAUGCCAAUGGCACUGCCCGGUAGCUAAAUGCGGAAGAGAUAAGUGCUGAAAGCAUCUAAGCACGAAACUUGCCCCGAGAUGAGUUCUCCCUGACCCUUUAAGGGUCCUGAAGGAACGUUGAAGACGACGACGUUGAUAGGCCGGGUGUGUAAGCGCAGCGAUG